This 24-nucleotide non-coding RNA is filed under the name Rattus norvegicus (Norway rat). Lineage: Eukaryota; Metazoa; Chordata; Mammalia; Rodentia; Muridae. The record is from RNAcentral.
UGACGGAUCAGGCAGCAGUCCCCU